Cricetulus griseus (Chinese hamster) is the source of this 533-nucleotide non-coding RNA. The record is from RefSeq and is a predicted model, not a curated record. NCBI's taxonomy places the organism in Eukaryota, Metazoa, Chordata, Mammalia, Rodentia, Cricetidae.
CGCGGGCACGCAGUCGCCACCCUAACUACGAGAGCGUGUCUUGGGGAAAAGCGCGAUGCUUUUUGCCCUGCGGCGUCAGUGACCGUAAGCAGCCUUCGGAGCGACUGACCCACAGCUCUAAAGGACAGCUAGCGCCACUGUUGAGACAGAAAACUGAGGCUAUGCCUGGGAAACUGUGGAUGAGUUGGAGAGCAACCCCUCCAAAGCGUCCCAAGCACUUGGUGUUUUUCUGAGCCAAACUCCCUUCUUAGAGACUAAUUAGGAGGCACGAGCUGAGGCAGCUUCUCCAUCUGGAGCAUGAGAUGGUGAGGGGAAGCUCCAGGUCUCCCAGCAGAGGGAAAAUUGCCUGCUGGAACGCUGUUGAGAAGAAAUGUGGACUGUCUCCAGGUGUCACACAGGAGAUUUAAACCCUGGGCCAGAGAGAUGUUCAGUGAGAAAAGUGCUUACUACCAAGCCUGAUGGCUGAAUUUGAUCCCAGAAGCCAAAUGGUGGAAAGAGAGAACUGACUCCCACAAAUUGUCUUAUAACCUUCA